UCACAUAGUUACAGUCUUGGUGUUCAUUUAACCAUGGACAGGAGGAAAGACGAGUGUUAUCUUACCCAGUAAGCAGAAUGAGGCAAGGAUGAAGUAGUACAUCAUUUUGACCUUUGAAUGCACAGGGAGGAGCCUGCAGAUGAAACACAACAUGGCACACUGAUCAAUACUGCCUCGUGGCAUUUAAAGACCCAUUGAGAACACUUUACAGACUGCUGGGAGAGAAGUUUAGUCAAUUUGAUUUGACUGGGUCGCAUUGGGUCCGACUUGGAUGAAAGGUAGAAACAGGUCGCCAGUCCAUCCGAGGGCACAUACACAUACAUACAUACACAUUCAAAC
Long non-coding RNA from Trichomycterus rosablanca, 339 nucleotides. RefSeq lists it as uncharacterized. The record is from RefSeq and is a predicted model, not a curated record. Lineage: Eukaryota; Metazoa; Chordata; Actinopteri; Siluriformes; Trichomycteridae. The transcript is spliced from 3 exons.